AACGAACGCUGGCGGCAUGCCUAACACAUGCAAGUCGAACGAAGCCUUCGGGCUUAGUGGCGCACGGGUGCGUAACACGUGGGAAUCUGCCCUUCGGUUCGGAAUAACAGUUAGAAAUGACUGCUAAUACCGGAUGAUGACGAAAGUCCAAAGAUUUAUCGCCGAAGGAUGAGCCCGCGUAGGAUUAGGUAGUUGGUAGGGGUAAAUGGCCUACCAAGCCGACGAUCCUUAGCUGGUCUGAGAGGAUGAUCAGCCACACUGGGACUGAGACACGGCCCAGACUCCUACGGGAGGCAGCAGUGGGGAAUAUUGGACAAUGGGCGAAAGCCUGAUCCAGCAAUGCCGCGUGAGUGAUGAAGGCCUUAGGGUUGUAAAGCUCUUUUACCAGGGAUGAUAAUGACAGUACCUGGAGAAUAAGCUCCGGCUAACUCCGUGCCAGCAGCCGCGGUAAU
RNAcentral lists this ribosomal RNA (452 nucleotides) under uncultured bacterium. Its description in RNAcentral is "bacterial SSU rRNA". It matches the Rfam family "Bacterial small subunit ribosomal RNA", at positions 29 to 524 of the family's 1533-position model. The record is from RNAcentral.